ACCAAAAGUCAAUCCCCCAUAGUAAAAGCCCCCCUAAUAAACGGUCUCAUUUAUUUGCAUCCACCGUAUCAUGUGACAUAAUAUUUCUUUAUUUUCUUCUAACGAAAAUAAAAAUAAAAAAUCAUCCGCAACACAUACAUAUAUAGAUAUUAUUUUAUACAGAGACAGCGAUGAGAAAGUGAAAUGUCAAAUGAAAAACGUUAAUUGUUUUUUCUUAUGAUUUAAACUAAAAAAAAAACAAGGAUUUGGAUAACAUGUCAAAGCUGAAAGUUUCUCAUUGGUUUGCGCUGAAUCUUCCAUUGAGUUCUCUGACUUAAAUCGCCGCCGUUUUGUUUGAACUUAAAACAUUACAUACCCUUUUUGCUUCCUAACUAGUAUUCUUUAUCAACAGAAGAAACGUGCUGCCAUUAAUCAUCCUUCGUUAAUCGAAAUUAUUUCAUUGUUUUCUUUGAUAAAGAACUUUUUUUUGGGCAAAUCUGUUUGUUAGUUUUUCUUUCUGUGAGUGUGUGACAUUGUCUCUCGUAUGCAUUUCUUG
Molecule: long non-coding RNA, 535 nt
Organism: Arabidopsis thaliana (thale cress)
Lineage: Eukaryota; Viridiplantae; Streptophyta; Magnoliopsida; Brassicales; Brassicaceae
Product: other RNA
Exons: 1
Source: RefSeq